GCAGUGGUUGUUCACAGGGAUAGGAUGAAUGAUACAUCUACUGGUCAUUAUGUCUGUUACAUAAAGACUGCCCGUGGUGAAUGGUUUGGGGUUAAUGACAGCUUAGUAAUGCCUGUGGAAUUGGAGAGGGUCUUAUUAGAAGAGGCAUAUAUGCUCCUCUAUGCGAGGCACUUUCCUCGAGGCCCGGCUGUAUUGAAGGGCAACAUAGAGACUCAUGGUGUGAAGUCUAAGAAAAGGAACUUGGAAGCUGUUCCUUCCCGCCUCAGUACUUCAAAGGUGAGGUCUAACUCCCACUGUUCAAGCACUGAUCCAUCAAAGGCACAACAGAAGCAUGGCAAAUACCCAUACUGGGCAGCUUCAGAUGAUUUUACCGGCA
Molecule: unclassified non-coding RNA, 376 nt
Filed under: Hevea brasiliensis (rubber tree)
Lineage: Eukaryota; Viridiplantae; Streptophyta; Magnoliopsida; Malpighiales; Euphorbiaceae
Source: RNAcentral